AUUAGGGUGGCGAUGGUCAGUUCUUGAGCUUCAAACGAGCAAAAAGCUAAACAACAAGAUGAGGGUGGCGAUGGUCAGUUCUUGAGCUUCGAACAAGCAGAAAGCUAAACAACAAGAUGAGGGUGGCGAUGGUCAGUUCUUGAGCUUCAAACGAGCAAAAAG
Sycon ciliatum is the source of this 162-nucleotide long non-coding RNA. RefSeq lists it as uncharacterized. The record is from RefSeq and is a predicted model, not a curated record. Lineage: Eukaryota; Metazoa; Porifera; Calcarea; Leucosolenida; Sycettidae. The transcript has 3 exons.